UCAUAAAGUAAUUAUUAACUUUUCUGUGGUCCUUAGGAAAAAAAAUAUGCUUUUGAGCCCAGGAUUUUCCGUGCUUGCUUUGGGCCAGGGAACUGAACUGUGACAAAAAUGGAGAAAAGACCCAGAAAGCUUGUGUAAAUUGGAACCAAACCAGAGGCAUAAUUUCUUGUACAGAUUGGGUCCAAGUUGGAACUCAGCAACAGAAGUGAUGUUUCUCGGAGACCUCCAUCCUGCCUAAUCCUGCACUGUGAUCCACAUCUAUCCUGCAAUACAGUA
Molecule: long non-coding RNA, 276 nt
Organism: Lacerta agilis (Sand lizard)
Lineage: Eukaryota; Metazoa; Chordata; Lepidosauria; Squamata; Lacertidae
Exons: 2
Source: RefSeq, a predicted model, not a curated record